RNAcentral lists this ribosomal RNA (366 nucleotides) under Gemmatimonadales bacterium. RNAcentral describes it as "bacterial SSU rRNA". It matches the Rfam family "Bacterial small subunit ribosomal RNA", at positions 1 to 356 of the family's 1533-position model. The record is from RNAcentral. Lineage: Bacteria; Pseudomonadati; Gemmatimonadota; Gemmatimonadia; Gemmatimonadales.
UAUGGAGAGUUUGAUCCUGGCUCAGGACGAACGCUGGCGGCGUGCCUUACACAUGCAAGUCGUGCGAGAACGGUUCCUUCGGGAACCUAGUAGAGCGGCGAACGGGUGAGUAAUACGUGAGCGAUCUGCCCGAAGGUGGGGGAUACCCCAGGGAAACCUGGACCAAUACCGCGUACAGCGUCGGGAGUGGAUGCCCGACGUGAAAGCCGGCCUCUUCUAUGCUGGCGCCUUCGGAUGAGCUCGCGGCCUAUCAGCUUGUUGGUGGGGUAACGGCCUACCAAGGCUAUGACGGGUAGCUGACGUGAGAGCGUGAUCAGCCACAUUGGGACUGAGACACGGCCCAGACUCCUACGGGAGGCAGCAGUG